AUUGAACGCUGGCGGAAUGCUUUACACAUGCAAGUCGAACGGCAGCACGGGGGCAGCCCUGGUGGCGAGUGGCGAACGGGUGAGUAAUACAUCGGAACGUGCCCGGUCGUGGGGGAUAACGUAGCGAAAGUUACGCUAAUACCGCAUACGAUCUGAGGAUGAAAGCGGGGGACCUUCGGGCCUCGCGCGAUCGGAGCGGCCGAUGUCAGAUUAGGUAGUUGGUGGGGUAAAGGCCUACCAAGCCGACGAUCUGUAGCUGGUCUGAGAGGACGACCAGCCACACUGGGACUGAGACACGGCCCAGACGCCUACGGGAGGCAGCAGUGGGGAAUUUUGGACAAUGGGCGCAAGCCUGAUCCAGCCAUUCCGCGUGCAGGACGAAGGCCUUCGGGUUGUAAACUGCUUUUGUACGGAACGAAAAGGCUCUGGCUAAUACCUGGGGCUCAUGACGGUACCGUAAGAAUAAGCACCGGCUAACUACGUG
Molecule: ribosomal RNA, 484 nt
Filed under: uncultured bacterium
Lineage: Bacteria
Description: partial 16S ribosomal RNA
Rfam family: Bacterial small subunit ribosomal RNA
Source: RNAcentral